AUACGUACCUGGCAGCAGAGAUACCCUGAUCCCGAAGGUGGUUUUCCUGAGGCGAGGCUUAUCCGUUGUACUCCAGAUGUGCUGACCCCUGCGAUUUCCCAAAUGUGGGAAACUCGACUGCAUAAUUUGUGGUAGUGGGGGACAGCAUUCACGCUCUCCCCUG
Molecule: small nuclear RNA, 163 nt
Organism: Nycticebus coucang (slow loris)
Lineage: Eukaryota; Metazoa; Chordata; Mammalia; Primates; Lorisidae
Product: U1 spliceosomal RNA
Exons: 1
Source: RefSeq, a predicted model, not a curated record